GGUUAAGCGACUAAGCGUACACGGUGGAUGCCCUGGCAGUCAGAGGCGAUGAAGGACGUGCUAAUCUGCGAUAAGCGCCGGUAAGGUGAUAUGAACCGUUAUAACCGGCGAUUUCCGAAUGGGGAAACCCAGUGUGACUCGUCACACUAUCAUUAACUGAAUCCAUAGGUUAAUGAGGCGAACCGGGGGAACUGAAACAUCUAAGUACCCCGAGGAAAAGAAAUCAACCGAGAUUCCCCCAGUAGCGGCGAGCGAACGGGGAGGAGCCCAGAGCCUGAAUCAGCAUGUGUGUUAGUGGAAGCGUCUGGAAAGGCGCGCGAUACAGGGUGACAGCCCCGUACACAAAAGCGCAUGUGCUGUGAGCUCGAUGAGUAGGGCGGGACACGUGGUAUCCUGUCUGAAUAUGGGGGGACCAUCCUCCAAGGCUAAAUACUCCUGACUGACCGAUAGUGAACCAGUACCGUGAGGGAAAGGCGAAAAGAACCCCGGCGAGGGGAGUGAAAAAGAACCUGAAACCGUGUACGUACAAGCAGUGGGAGCACAGGUUUACCUGUGUGACUGCGUACCUUUUGUAUAAUGGGUCAGCGACUUAUAUUCUGUAGCAAGGUUAACCGAAUAGGGGAGCCGGAGGGAAACCGAGUCUUAACCGGGCGUUAAGUUGCAGGGUAUAGACCCGAAACCCGGUGAUCUAGCCAUGGGCAGGUUGAAGGUUGGGUAACACUAACUGGAGGACCGAACCGACUAAUGUUGAAAAAUUAGCGGAUGACCUGUGGCUGGGGGUGAAAGGCCAAUCAAACCGGGAGAUAGCUGGUUCUCCCCGAAAGCUAUUUAGGUAGCGCCUCGUGAAUUCAUCUCCGGGGGUAGAGCACUGUUUCGGCUAGGGGGCCAUCCCGGCUUACCAACCCGAUGCAAACUGCGAAUACCGGAGAAUGUUAUCACGGGAGACACACGGCGGGUGCUAACGUCCGUCGUGAAGAGGGAAACAACCCAGACCGCCAGCUAAGGUCCCAAAGUCAUGGUUAAGUGGGAAACGAUGUGGGAAGGCCCAGACAGCCAGGAUGUUGGCUUAGAAGCAGCCAUCAUUUAAAGAAAGCGUAAUAGCUCACUGGUCGAGUCGGCCUGCGCGGAAGAUGUAACGGGGCUAAACCAUGCACCGAAGCUGCGGCAGCGAACGUAUCACUUAAAGCGAUUCAGCGGGUUACGAUUGACGGAGCGAAGCGACGUCAAAGCGUAUACAAAGUCGAGUCGGUUUAAGGAUACGUUCGUUGGGUAGGGGAGCGUUCUGUAAGCCUGUGAAGGUGGCCUGUGAGGGUUGCUGGAGGUAUCAGAAGUGCGAAUGCUGACAUAAGUAACGAUAAAGCGGGUGAAAAGCCCGCUCGCCGGAAGACCAAGGGUUCCUGUCCAACGUUAAUCGGGGCAGGGUGAGUCGACCCCUAAGGCGAGGCCGAAAGGCGUAGUCGAUGGGAAACGGGUUAAUAUUCCCGUACUUGGUGUUACUGCGAAGGGGGGACGGAGAAGGCUAUGUUGGCCGGGCGACGGUUGUCCCGGUUUAAGCGUGUAGGUGUGUGUUCCAGGUAAAUCCGGUUCACUUUAACACUGAGGCGUGAUGACGAGGCACUACGGUGCUGAAGCAACAAAUGCCCUGCUUCCAGGAAAAGCCUCUAAGCAUCAGGUAACAUCAAAUCGUACCCCAAACCGACACAGGUGGUCAGGUAGAGAAUACCAAGGCGCUUGAGAGAACUCGGGUGAAGGAACUAGGCAAAAUGGUGCCGUAACUUCGGGAGAAGGCACGCUGACACGUAGGUGAAGUGAUUUACUCAUGGAGCUGAAGUCAGUCGAAGAUACCAGCUGGCUGCAACUGUUUAUUAAAAACACAGCACUGUGCAAACACGAAAGUGGACGUAUACGGUGUGACGCCUGCCCGGUGCCGGAAGGUUAAUUGAUGGGGUCAGCGCAAGCGAAGCUCCUGAUCGAAGCCCCGGUAAACGGCGGCCGUAACUAUAACGGUCCUAAGGUAGCGAAAUUCCUUGUCGGGUAAGUUCCGACCUGCACGAAUGGCGUAAUGAUGGCCAGGCUGUCUCCACCCGAGACUCAGUGAAAUUGAACUCGCUGUGAAGAUGCAGUGUACCCGCGGCAAGACGGAAAGACCCCGUGAACCUUUACUAUAGCUUGACACUGAACAUUGAGCCUUGAUGUGUAGGAUAGGUGGGAGGCUUUGAAGCGUGGACGCCAGUCUGCGUGGAGCCAACCUUGAAAUACCACCCUUUAAUGUUUGAUGUUCUAACGUGGACCCGUAAUCCGGGUUGCGGACAGUGUCUGGUGGGUAGUUUGACUGGGGCGGUCUCCUCCUAAAGAGUAACGGAGGAGCACGAAGGUUGGCUAAUCCUGGUCGGACAUCAGGAGGUUAGUGCAAUGGCAUAAGCCAGCUUGACUGCGAGCGUGACGGCGCGAGCAGGUGCGAAAGCAGGUCAUAGUGAUCCGGUGGUUCUGAAUGGAAGGGCCAUCGCUCAACGGAUAAAAGGUACUCCGGGGAUAACAGGCUGAUACCGCCCAAGAGUUCAUAUCGACGGCGGUGUUUGGCACCUCGAUGUCGGCUCAUCACAUCCUGGGGCUGAAGUAGGUCCCAAGGGUAUGGCUGUUCGCCAUUUAAAGUGGUACGCGAGCUGGGUUUAGAACGUCGUGAGACAGUUCGGUCCCUAUCUGCCGUGGGCGCUGGAGAACUGAGGGGGGCUGCUCCUAGUACGAGAGGACCGGAGUGGACGCAUCACUGGUGUUCGGGUUGUCAUGCCAAUGGCACUGCCCGGUAGCUAAAUGCGGAAGAGAUAAGUGCUGAAAGCAUCUAAGCACGAAACUUGCCCCGAGAUGAGUUCUCCCUGAGACUUUAGGUCUCCUGAAGGAACGUUGAAGACGACGACGUUGAUAGGCCGGGUGUGUAAGCGCAGCGAUGCGUUGAGCUAACCGGUACUAAUGAACCGUGAGGCUUAACCUU
Molecule: ribosomal RNA, 2989 nt
Filed under: Salmonella enterica subsp. enterica serovar Muenchen
Lineage: Bacteria; Pseudomonadati; Pseudomonadota; Gammaproteobacteria; Enterobacterales; Enterobacteriaceae
Also listed under: 1 other name
Description: 23S ribosomal RNA
Rfam family: Bacterial large subunit ribosomal RNA
Source: RNAcentral